Molecule: transfer RNA, 113 nt
Filed under: Daldinia vernicosa
Lineage: Eukaryota; Fungi; Ascomycota; Sordariomycetes; Xylariales; Hypoxylaceae
Description: tRNA-Pro
Rfam family: tRNA
About the family: Transfer RNA (tRNA) molecules are approximately 80 nucleotides in length. Their secondary structure includes four short double-helical elements and three loops (D, anti-codon, and T loops).
Source: RNAcentral
GGCUCAAUGGUCCAGUGGUAAGAUACUCGCUUCGGGUUAGCUAUCUCUAUUCCCCGGUCUCUUUACGAGAUUGAAAAUGUGAGUGGUCCCGGGUUCGAAUCCCGGUUGAGCCC